UACGUAGGGGGCUAGCGUUGUCCGGAAUCAUUGGGCGUAAAGCGCGUGUAGGCGGUCCGGUAAGUCCGCUGUGAAAGUCGGGGGCUCAACCCUCGGAUGCCGGUGGAUACUGUCGGGCUUGAGUACGGAAGAGGCGAGUGGAAUUCCUGGUGUAGCGGUGAAAUGCGCAGAUAUCAGGAGGAACACCAAUUGCGAAGGCAGCUCGCUGGGACGUUACUGACGCUGAGACGCGAAAGCGUGGGGAGCGAACCGG
Molecule: ribosomal RNA, 253 nt
Filed under: uncultured bacterium
Lineage: Bacteria
Description: partial 16S ribosomal RNA
Rfam family: Bacterial small subunit ribosomal RNA
Source: RNAcentral